ACGUUUAGUUGCUAACGCGUGAAGGCGAGCACUCUAGACGAACUGCCGUUGACAAACGGAGGAAGUGGGGAUGACGUCAAAUCAUCAUGCCCCUUAUGUUCUGGGCUACACACGUGCUACAAUGGCCGGUACAGACGGACGCAAAGCCGCGAGGUGGAGCAAAUCCGAAAAAGCCGGUCUCAGUUCGGAUUGCAGGCUGCAAUUCGCCUGCAUGAAGUCGGAAUCGCUAGUAAUCGCAGGUCAGCAUACUGCGGUGAAUACGUUCUCGGGCCUU
This 274-nucleotide ribosomal RNA is filed under the name uncultured Pelotomaculum sp. RNAcentral describes it as "partial 16S ribosomal RNA". It matches the Rfam family "Bacterial small subunit ribosomal RNA", at positions 1107 to 1382 of the family's 1533-position model. Lineage: Bacteria; Bacillati; Bacillota; Clostridia; Eubacteriales; Desulfotomaculaceae. The record is from RNAcentral.